Molecule: transfer RNA, 73 nt
Filed under: Camelus bactrianus (Bactrian camel)
Lineage: Eukaryota; Metazoa; Chordata; Mammalia; Artiodactyla; Camelidae
Also listed under: 2 other names
Rfam family: tRNA
About the family: Transfer RNA (tRNA) molecules are approximately 80 nucleotides in length. Their secondary structure includes four short double-helical elements and three loops (D, anti-codon, and T loops).
Source: Rfam by way of RNAcentral
AAGGAUAUAGCUCAACUGGUAGAGCACAUGCUUAGCAUAUGUGAGGUCCUGGGUUCAAUCCCCAGUACCUCUC